GGAGGGCUGACAGAGCGGCCUAAUGUGACGGUCUUGAAAACCGUUGUCCGCAAGGACCGGGGGUUCGAAUCCCUCGCCCUCCG
RNAcentral lists this transfer RNA (83 nucleotides) under Sanguibacter sp. HDW7. It matches the Rfam family "tRNA". From Rfam's summary of the family: Transfer RNA (tRNA) molecules are approximately 80 nucleotides in length. Their secondary structure includes four short double-helical elements and three loops (D, anti-codon, and T loops). Lineage: Bacteria; Bacillati; Actinomycetota; Actinomycetes; Micrococcales; Sanguibacteraceae. The record is from Rfam by way of RNAcentral.